CAAUAGCGUAUAUUAAAGUUGUUGCAGUUAAAAAGCUCGUAGUUGGAUUUCUGGCAGGAGGAGCCGGUCACACACUCUGUGCGUGAACUCGUGCUGUCUCUGGCCAUCCUCGGGGAGAUCCUGUUUGGCAUUAAGUUGUCGGGCAGGGGAUACCCGUCGUUUACUGUGAAAAAUUAGAGUGUUUAAAGCAGGCUUAUGCCGUUGAAUAUAUUAGCAUGGAAUAAUAAGAUAGGACUUCGGAACUAUUUUGUUGGUUUGCGUUACGAAGUAAUGAUUAAUAGGGACAGUUGGGGGUAUUCGUAUUUCAUUGUCAGAGGUGAAAUUCUUGGAUUUCUGAAAGACGAACUACUGCGAAAGCAUUUACCAAGGAUGUUUUCAUUAAUCAAGAACGAAAGUUAGGGGAUCGAAGACGAUUAGAUACCAU
This 424-nucleotide ribosomal RNA is filed under the name uncultured eukaryote. Its description in RNAcentral is "SSU rRNA". It matches the Rfam family "Eukaryotic small subunit ribosomal RNA", at positions 592 to 1018 of the family's 1831-position model. The record is from RNAcentral.